AGGUUCCUACGGGAGGCAGCAGUAGGGAAUCUUCCACAAUGGGCGAAAGCCUGAUGGAGCAACGCCGCGUGGGUGAAGAAGGUCUUCGGAUCGUAAAACCCUGUUGUUAGAGAAGAAGGUGCGUGAGAGUAACUGUUCACGUUUCGACGGUAUCUAACCAGAAAGCCACGGCUAACUACGUGCCAGCAGCCGCGGUAAUACGUAGGUGGCAAGCGUUAUCCGGAUUUAUUGGGCGUAAAGGGAACGCAGGCGGUCUUUUAAGUCUGAUGUGAAAGCCUUCGGCUUAAUCGGCGUAGU
This 297-nucleotide ribosomal RNA is filed under the name uncultured bacterium. Its description in RNAcentral is "partial 16S ribosomal RNA". It matches the Rfam family "Bacterial small subunit ribosomal RNA", at positions 333 to 622 of the family's 1533-position model. The record is from RNAcentral.